This 429-nucleotide ribosomal RNA is filed under the name Bacteroidota bacterium. Its description in RNAcentral is "Bacteroidetes bacterium partial 16S ribosomal RNA". It matches the Rfam family "Bacterial small subunit ribosomal RNA", at positions 355 to 776 of the family's 1533-position model. The record is from RNAcentral. Lineage: Bacteria; Pseudomonadati; Bacteroidota.
UAGGGAAUCUUCCGCAAUGGACGCAAGUCUGACGGAGCAACGCCGCGUGAGUGAAGAAGGAUUUCGGUUCGUAAAACUCUGUUGUUAGAGAAGAACAGCGCAUAGAGUAACUGUUAUGCGUGUGACGGUAUCUAACCAGAAAGCCACGGCUAACUACGUGCCAGCAGCCGCGGUAAUACGUAGGUGGCAAGCGUUGUCCGGAUUUAUUGGGCGUAAAGCGAGCGCAGGCGGUCAAUUAAGUCUGAUGUGAAAGCCCCCGGCUCAACCGGGGAGGGUCAUUGGAAACUGGUUGACUUGAGUGCAGAAGAGGAGAGUGGAAUUCCAUGUGUAGCGGUGAAAUGCGUAGAUAUAUGGAGGAACACCAGUGGCGAAGGCGACUCUCUGGUCUGUAACUGUCGCUGAGGUUCGAAAGCGUGGGUAGCAAACAGG